This 1947-nucleotide ribosomal RNA is filed under the name human gut metagenome. RNAcentral's name for it is "bacterial LSU rRNA". It matches the Rfam family "Bacterial large subunit ribosomal RNA", at positions 1 to 1989 of the family's 2925-position model. The record is from RNAcentral.
UUAUGCUGAUAAGAGCGUAUGGUGGAUGCCUUGGCACUAAGAGCCGAUGAAAGACGUGAUAAGCUGCGAAAAGCUUCGGGGAGGGGCAAAUACCCAUUGAUCCGGAGAUUUCUGAAUGGGGAAACCUACCUGAGCAAACCUCAGGUAUCCUGACGCCAAUCCAUAACGUCAGGAAGGGAACCCGGUGAACUGAAACAUCUAAGUAGCCGGAGGAAGAGAAAACAACAUGUGAUUCUGUGAGUAGCGGCGAGCGAAAACGGAAGAGCCCAAACCAGUGUGCGUGCAUGCUGGGGUUCGGACCGCGGAAUUGAUUCAACGAGUUUAGCAGAACGGUUUUGGGAAAGCCGGCCAGAGAGGGUGAAAGCCCCGUAAGCGAAAGACGAGUUGACAUGGCGGGAUCCAGAGUACCACGAGACACGUGGAACCUUGUGGGAAUAUGCGGGGACCACCCCGUAAGGCUAAAUACUACUUAGUGACCGAUAGCGCAUAGUACUGUGAAGGAAAGGUGAAAAGGACCCCGGGAGGGGAGUGAAAGAGAACCUGAAACCCUGUGUUUACAAGCUGUCGAAGCACGCAAGUGCGACGGCGUACUUUUUGUAGAACGGUCCGGCGAGUUAUGAUGAGUGGUAAGGUUAAGGACUUAAGGUCCGGAGCCGAAGCGAAAGCGAGUGUUAAAAGCACGUAGAAUCGCUUAUCAUAGACCCGAAACCGGGUGAUCUAUCCAUGUCCAGGUUGAAGCUGCCGUAAGAGGUAGUGGAGGACCGAACACACAUCCGUUGAAAAGGGUGGUGAUGAGGUGUGGAUAGGGGAGAAAUUCCAAUCGAACCCGGAGAUAGCUGGUUCUCCUCGAAAUAGCUUUAGGGCUAGCCUCGAUACAGAUUUGCGGAGGUAGAGCACUGAAUUUCCUAGGGGGCGUCAAAGCCUACCGAAGAAUAUCAAACUCCGAAUGCCGCGUAAUCGAUUAUCGGGAGUCAGACUGCACGAGAUAAGUUGGGCGGUCAAAAGGGAAAGAGCCCAGACCUUCAGUUAAGGUCCCAAAGUGCGCGUUAAGUGGAAAAGGAUGUGGGAUUUCGAAGACAACCAGGAUGUUGGCUCAGAAGCAGCCAUCCAUUCAAAGAGUGCGUAAUAGCUCACUGGUCGAGAGGUCCUGCGCCGAAAAUGUCCGGGGCUGAAACGCGCCACCGAAACUAAGGAACCGAAAGGUUGGUAGAGGAGCAUUGCAUGCGGGAAGAAGCAGUACCGUAAGGAGCUGUGGACUGCAUGGAAGAGAGAAUGCCGGAAUGAGUAGCGAGAAUAAGGUGGGAAUCCUUAUGGCCGAAUAUCCAAGGUUUCCAGAGUAAAGCUGAUCUGCUCUGGGUAAGUCGGGGCCUAAGGCGAGGACGAGAGUCGUAGCCGAUGGACAACAGGUGGAGAUUCCUGUACUGCGGUAUGACAGAACUGUGGGGACACGUAAGGAAAGCGGAAGCCGGGAAUGGAAAGCCCGGUGCAAGCGGGGUACCAGCCACUUUGGCAAAUCCGGGUGGCAAUGGGAAGCCGUGAUGCGGAGCGAAAUACAAGUAGCGAAGUCCGUGAGCCAUGCGUCAAGAAAAGCCGCUAUUGUUUAUACCGUACCCGUACCGUAAACCGACACAGGUGGAUGAGGAGAGAAUCCUAAGGCCGGCGGAAGAAGCAUUGUCAAGGAACUCGGCAAAAUGACCCCGUAACUUCGGGAGAAGGGGUGCCUGCGAGAGCAGGCCGCAGAGAAUAGGCUCAAGCAACUGUUUAGCAAAAACACAGGUCUAUGCGAAACCGAAAGGUGAGGUAUAUGGGCUGACGCCUGCCCGGUGCUGGAAGGUUAAGAGGAGAGGUUAGCGCAAGCGAAGCUUUGAAUUUAAGCCCCAGUAAACGGCGGCCGUAACUAUAACGGUCCUAAGGUAGCGAAAUUCCUUGUCGGGUAAGUUCCGACCC